ACAAUGAGCAACAAAUUAAAUAUUCUUCUGACAGGCUCCCUUUUUGUCGUUGAAUUGCAGUUGUCACUCAUUUAAUUUUAUAAACUCAAUUUUGAAAAUAAUCUUAAAGCAGCAUCCCCUGAAAGAUGACUUUGGAUAAUGUUGAAUUACAUUUUCAUUAACUUGGCAUCAUCCUGGAUUGAAAUACAGGUUACUAUUAAUCUUUUAACUUCUUGAAAUAAUUAGAAGCAGUCUUGCCCCCUGUUAUUUGAAAGCACACGUUCAGCAUGAGACUAAAGGCCAUACUCUUUGUUUAAUGUUAACAUGUCAUUUUACUGUUACUUUAGUUCAAUUGUUUUGAGUAUUUUCCUGCUCUCACCCAUGUCAGUAUGUUGUUAAAAUAAUGUAUAGUGAAAGACUUGCAGGUGUUUCAAAGGAUGUCUUACUAUUUGAAGGAUGCCUUGUAAAAAUCUGCCCAGCCGUUUAAAGGCUUUCAUAGAAGUAAAUUGCCAUUGAGUUUUUACAAGAAAGCGAACUGGGGUUGGGCAGGAGAUACUGUGACAGGAAAGACAUUGAUAUAUACCAUUUUUCAUUCCGGUUUCCUUUAUUUGAAGUCAUUUUCCCCAAAAAAUUGAUGAAGAGAGAAUGGUUUAGUGACUAAGCCAAAAUAUAGAGGACUAGAAUAACACACAUGUCAAAAUCUGUACAGUUGAACCACUCUUUUGCCUUUAUGAUGGGGAAUUGAAAACUAAUAGCUUUCUUUUUCAAAAAAAGUUAUUCAAUAUUUUCCAUUAUGUCAGUUUUA
RNAcentral lists this long non-coding RNA (784 nucleotides) under Bos taurus (domestic cattle). RNAcentral's name for it is "long non-coding RNA NONBTAT020405". Lineage: Eukaryota; Metazoa; Chordata; Mammalia; Artiodactyla; Bovidae. The record is from RNAcentral.